UAGCCUGCCCACUGAUUUGUUUUAAAGGGCCGCGGUAUAUUGACCGUGCGAAGGUAGCAUAAUCAUUAGUCUUUUAAUUGGAGGCUUGUAUGAAUGGUUGGACAAAAAGUAAGCUGUCUCAGUUAUAAUAAUUGAACUUAACUUUUAAGUGAAAAGGCUUAAAUGUUUCAGGGGGACGAUAAGACCCUAUAAAGCUUGACAAUAAUUUCGUUAUAUUAUAAAUUGUUAGUAUAACUUGAUUUUAACGGGAGUUUGUUUCGUUGGGGCGACGGGAAUAUAAUAAAUAACUGUUCUUUUAAAUAUAAUUACAAAAAUACUUGGUAAAUAAUUGAUCCUCUAUUAGAGAUUAAAAGAUUAAGUUACUUUAGGGAUAACAGCGUAAUCUUCUUUGAGAGUCCACAUCGACAAGAAGGUUUGCGACCUCGAUGUUGAAUUAAGGUAUCCUUAUAAUGCAGCAGUUAUAAAGGA
RNAcentral lists this ribosomal RNA (468 nucleotides) under Penaeus japonicus. Its description in RNAcentral is "partial 16S ribosomal RNA". It matches the Rfam family "Bacterial large subunit ribosomal RNA", at positions 1854 to 2571 of the family's 2925-position model. The record is from RNAcentral. Lineage: Eukaryota; Metazoa; Arthropoda; Malacostraca; Decapoda; Penaeidae.